RNAcentral lists this long non-coding RNA (1021 nucleotides) under Chrysolophus pictus (golden pheasant). RNAcentral describes it as "lncRNA (ENSCPIG00010010378.1)". The record is from RNAcentral. Lineage: Eukaryota; Metazoa; Chordata; Aves; Galliformes; Phasianidae.
GCUGCUGGCCAACGCCCGGGAGAGGACCCGCGUCCACACCAUCAGCGCCGCCUUCGAGGCGCUGCGGAAGCAGGUUCCCUGCUAUUCUUAUGGUCAAAAGUUGUCCAAACUGGCCAUCUUGAGAAUAGCCUGUAACUAUAUCCUUUCCCUGGCCAGACUAGCAGACCUGGAUUACAGCGCUGACCACAGUAACAUGAGCUUCUCUGAAUGCGUGGAGCAGUGCACUAGGACCUUACAAGCAGAAGGAAGAUCUAAAAAAAGGAAGGAGUAAUAACAGGGAAGGGAGGAUUCAGAAGAGCUUCCAGCCAGUUACAUCUGUUCUUGGCAAAGGUUGCACAAUCCAGAUGAAGACUGCGAGCAGCUUUUUUGCAGAAGCCCCUUUUCAAGAUGAUGAUUGGCCAAGGAACUUUCUCAGUCUCUGGAACAGAAAGGAAAAAAAAAAAAGGACAAGGAUGCUUCUUAUUGUUUUUAAGCCAGCCACCUUUUAGUACGUGCAAUUUAUUUAGCACUUUUCCCUUUGCUUAACUGGGAAAUGUUCCCCUCUCAGCUCAUGUGUACAGUCAUUUUUUGUUGUUGCCGUUGUUGCUGUUGUGCCAAAGAUUUGAUGGAGCUUCUACACUGUGUCUUAUUUUUGCCUUAAUGUUAAAUCCUUGAGCCAAAGAGAAGUCAGAGACACCGUUCAGAUUGCAGCAAGUGGGCCAGCAGCUGUCAGGGACAGAUCUGAAUUUUGGAAUCCUUCUGCGAGGUCCCUCUUAGCUCUCCCAUCCCGCAGCCCUGCCACCAGCCUUUGGUGUGGCAAUGAGUGGGGACACGGCACCGGGUGAUGAACCACCACGUUGUCUUCUUCCUUGGAGCUGCUCCAUAGUUCCACCUCUUUGGCCAAUUCCUGACGUUCCUGCGACAUCCACAGGGUAGGGAUACUGACGUGUAGAGAGAGCUUAAGCAGGAUCUAUGGUGUUGGGUAUUUGUUUGUUUGGUUUUUUUUAAUAAAGAAAAAAAAAAUUAAGUAGAAGCUAAGCGC